RNAcentral lists this ribosomal RNA (326 nucleotides) under uncultured Omnitrophica bacterium. RNAcentral describes it as "bacterial SSU rRNA". It matches the Rfam family "Bacterial small subunit ribosomal RNA", at positions 29 to 351 of the family's 1533-position model. The record is from RNAcentral. Lineage: Bacteria; Pseudomonadati; Candidatus Omnitrophota.
AGUGAACGCUGGCGGCGUGGAUUAGGCAUGCAAGUCGAGCGAUCUCGCAAGAGAUAGCGGCAAAAGGGUGAGUAACACGUAAGUAAUUUUCCUUCAAGACGGGGAUAGCAUCGUGAAAACGGUGGUAAUACCCGAUAACAUCAGUGGUCCGCAUGGAUUGCUGAUUAAAGACGGGGACCGCAAGGCCUGUCGCUUAAAGAUGAGCUUGCGUACCAUCAGCUAGUUGGUAGGGUAAUGGCCUACCAAGGCUAAGACGGUUAGCUGGUCUGAGAGGAUGGUCAGCCACACUGGGACUGAGACACUGCCCAGACUCCUACGGGAGGCUG